This is an RNA transcript of Dreissena polymorpha, 4130 nucleotides long. RefSeq lists it as uncharacterized. NCBI's taxonomy places the organism in Eukaryota, Metazoa, Mollusca, Bivalvia, Myida, Dreissenidae. The record is from RefSeq and is a predicted model, not a curated record. The transcript is spliced from 7 exons.
AAUACACCGCGACACAAUCCAUUAAGUACGACUGCCUGUUUAUGAAUCAGUAAUGUUUGUAAAAUGGCUGACACCAGUGACGGAAAUAGUAACGAUCAAUGCGACGAAGUUUUCUCUUUAAAGGAUUUUUCCGAGUGUUUUGAUUUACCGAAAUGGGUCGCAGUAGUAGGUGGAAAAGACGUGGGUCCGAUUGGAUCGGGGCCGUGCAAUAUUCAGAAGGGGAUGAUACUAUUAUUAAGGACCCUAGCUGUGGAUAGCGUUACACUAUCAUUUAACGAUGCUGAAACAGGUAAACGGAUAGUGAGUGUGUCACCUAAUAGUCAGGUAAAGUUUACCGUACAGUUACCAUAUCCGGACUUCAAAAAUCCGGCCGCACCUCGGACGGUUUACAACACGGUGGCCGAAUUAUUAAAAGUGUGUCCAACAUUCUUUAAGGCAAACGUGUUUUACGACGACCCCUACCUUCCAGCAAUUGUCAAAGCCGGCGAAGUCUUUAAAUUCAUCCGAAAGCUACGGCGGCCCAAUGAGCGCCGAAUGUACCUUCAGUGCAGGGACCCGGAGGGAAAUAUUAUUGAACUUCCGGAAGAGUGCCGGGGCGAUUUCACGGCUGUUGAGGAUGAAGAAUCGUACACGCUCAAAGAGUUACUGGACCUCGGGCCUAUCGAUAGGAAGUUAAAGCUGUCACGUGACCAUGUACAGUUGAGUUUUGUACCAGAAGCUGGUGACAACGGCCAUGAUCUGUACAGUAAUUUGAAGGGCUCGGAGAGCUCGAACCUGUUACAGCGGAUCAUGGGACUUCCCCUGUCUUAUGACGGGCUGCUGACCCUCCACCAGCCAAAGAUGUUCCUGGCAGCAUCACCGAGUGAAAACCAACAGGAAGUCUGGAAAGUUCCGCUCGACAUCGAUAUAAAGGUGAAGGCUUUUUGCACAGACGACUAUGAGAAACCGCUGUCAAGCUGUGAGAUCCCGGAUAUGGGCAGUCCCCCGCCGCCAUUCAAAGUGUACAAACUUUGCGAGCUACUAGACACUUACCACGAAGACUUUCCCGUAUUGGCCACUCUAGUCCAUUACAAGGACAUGCCAGUAGAAUUUACGCACUGUCUGUCGCCCGGCUGUGAACUCAUUGUCCAUAACAUCGAACGCCAGGAUAGGCUUCUUGCGAAAGCCGGGCACAAGUAUUUUUCUAUUGCUAGAAACAUGCCUGGGAAAUUCCGCAAAACGCUGAGAAAGUUUAGGUCUAUUGCUGACAUGAAAUAUAUGUUUCCAGACCCUUUGCAGGAAGAUGUUUGUGUAAAAAUCCUUCAAGAGGUUGCUUCCGAUUCGCCUGUUCAGUUUUCGCUGGCUACUGGUGACGUAGUUAAAUUUAAAACGUUUCAAGCUAAAACGCAUAAAGUUAAAUUAAAAUCGAAGACCUAUAGCGAAUGUUCUGUGAUUCAUUGCGAAAAACGGCGCGAAAAUGGAAAAUUCGAAAAAAUACUUUUACCAGACGACCUUGAUAUUCUAGUCCAUGAAUUACCGUCACCUUCAAAAGUUGACGGAUUUUGUAUCGACGAGGUGUUUAGAUAUCGCCCGGAACUUCCGUUCAGCGUCGAUUUUCUCGCCGACUAUAACUCCAUGUGGGGUUGUCUACCAGUUUCGUCCGAAAUCAUGUUCACAAACUUUGUCACCGAGCCGCUUGCCGUCAUUUCCCAAUUGUCAAAAGCAGACGAAGAUAGCGACACCCGCCGCCAUAUAGACAACCGUGUGCGGGACUGUUUAUUGGUUCCCGCGCGUCACUUCAUGAUGCUCACGGUGAAGGAGCGUCUCGGUUUCCCGUCCAAUUACUUCAUGUUUCCGGACAAAAAUGUGUUUAUUGGAUGCGCAGUGGAGAAAAUCAGCAAACAAGCGUUUGACGACCUGAUACGCCACAAUGACUUGUCCUACGAGGACUACGAUGGGAUGCCAUCAGCAAAUGCCGAGAGUGCCGCCAUUCUACCAUACAAGAGCAAACGGGGUUCUGAGGAAAAGCUCAACAAACGACUGUCCAAGACCUUCAACACCAUGAUCAAGAGCCGGCCAAAGAUAUUAACAAAAAUAAAGAAGCGAUUUAGUGCCAAUAAUCUGGAGGAGCUUAGUACGGACACGUCGUCUGCGGUGGAGAACCAGAUGUAUGGAGCCGGGUCCAUUCACAGUACGGACGACGGGGACCAGUAUGAUGAUGAAAACCUAUACGAGCAUGUUCAAUACAGUAUUGACAAGAAAAGCUAAUAAGCCAUGUGGCGUGGCAAAAAAAGAAUAGGUAAACAGCAUACUCCGAGGCCAUGGUCACAACUUCAGCCCGCCGAUAGCCAUAUCCACACUCUGCCAUGGUCUUGAUGUGUUCCACAAGAUGGGCUUCCUCCUCGUUGGAAAACAUCGGUUGUGGACCCGAAUGUAAACUUUCCGGAUUCACUCUGCCACACAGCCUGUGCCUCAGGGAUGCUUCAGGUACCCCAAACUCUCUGGCAGUUGUUCUGAUUUUGGACCCUGUCUGUCUGAUAUGUACAUAGGCAGCAUUCAUAGAAGUGGGUGAAUAACACCGGUACUUCCCUUGUGGGCCCUGGAAAUAAAAUUACAUUUAAAUUAGUUUACCACUCAUCACAAUAUAAGUAACAAUAGUAAAUAAUUCUGGUGGUAAAUUCCCAUUAAAAUCCAAUGAGUGUGUGUGUGUGUGCAGUGCUAUUCAUUUAACGCGUACAUCUUACCAGAUGGCUAAAAAUAACAGAAUUGACGUAAUCUAUCACAUGACAGUCACGUGAUCUAUAAAUGAAACAAAAAAACUUGCAGACGAACAUUCGUCAUUUUUUCCCACGAUGAAUUUAGGUAAAUAAAAUCAUGUUCCGUUGAGAUGUAUUUUUGCAUUAGUAAAAUCACUCAAAAUUGCAUUGAAAUACAUUGAAUGCAUCUAUUCUUACCUUUGCAUCUCUCACUUUCCACAUGUUUUGCGCAAGCGAUAGCAAGUACGUGUUUACUACGAUUUAAAGCAAAAUGACGUCAGCGGAAGUCGCUUAUGUAUUAAAACCGAGAAAAACAAAAACUGCGUCGAAAUAGGUUCGCGUCAUAACAGGUCACCCGACGAUAGUCGCGGCACUUCAGUGCGACGCCAACAACUGAUGAAAAAAGAUUUUUUGAAAACUUCAGAAAUCUAAAAAUGAUCGACCUUGUGGGCGAGUGAUUGGGCAAAUAUCGUCCGAAAGUGCAAGCGAACAGUCAGUGACACUGCAAAAACAUGACGUCCCGUGAGGCAGCCAUAUUGGAAAGAAUUAAAUCACGAGUACGGAGCACGAGUUAUUUCAGAUAACACGCAAACCUAUACUCCCUAUAGACAACCCACAUGAGCACAGAAAACAGUAUACUCUAUCUCGGUCUGUAAAUUCAUUCACUUUAAAGCAAUUGAAUGAGAACUAUAUUUGCUAGACUCUGCGCAUCUUGCUAAGUUACUACUAAUAGAUCUGCACGAGCCAUUCAAUCGUGGCUAAUUUAAAAUAACAAAAACUGUGAUGUACAGUAAUGUUUAUUGGCACUACAACGCAAAUGACAUACUUCUAAACUAAACUUAAAUGUUUAUAUUCAUUAACGUUUACGUUUUAUAUCAUUGUUUUUAUAAAAUGUGCGACUAAAUACAAGCUACGUUUUUAAUGCAAUCUGCGCAAACUUUAGUUUGAUAUAGUUUUUUUCUAGUGCGCGAUUAUUUACAUAUUAUUUCAUUUUACGAAUAGUUACGAUUGAAAAGGCCGCAACGGCCUGCAUACAAAUAGCAAGCAGUUUUUUCUUUUAAUAAUAUUUGUUAUUUUAACCGAAGCAUUGAAGAGUUGCGAUUUUAUGUGGAUGUAACAACCUUAUUGUAGGUGUACUUUUUAGAUUUGUAUUUAAUUAUUGUUAUUAUUGCCUGUGUUUUAAUAGUAAUUUUAAUCAUUCCGUAUCUUAGACGUGAAUCUCAAGUCUGUAUUCAUCGAUAUUACUAUUGUAUUAGAAAUCCUUGGUAUUUUAUCUUGAUACAUACCGGUAAGCAUAAUCAUUUCAAACAACAGUUUAACAAUCAUGUUGUUGUAGAGUCUGUGUACUUUGUGUAGCAUAUACCACAUACUGCAAUAAAUGUUAUUGAUCUAUUA